UACGAAGGGGGCGAGCGUUGUUCGGAAUUACUGGGCGUAAAGGGCGCGCAGGCGGCUUCUCAAGUCAGGGGUGAAAGCCCAGAGCUCAACUCUGGAAUUGCCUUUGAGACUGAGUGGCUUGAGUACGAGAGAGGUGAGUGGAAUUCCCAGUGUAGAGGUGAAAUUCGUAGAUAUUGGGAAGAACACCGGUGGCGAAGGCGGCUCACUGGCUCGUAACUGACGCUCAUGCACGACAGCGUGGGGAUCAAACAGG
Molecule: ribosomal RNA, 253 nt
Filed under: uncultured bacterium
Lineage: Bacteria
Description: partial 16S ribosomal RNA
Rfam family: Bacterial small subunit ribosomal RNA
Source: RNAcentral